Molecule: non-coding RNA, 3996 nt
Organism: Callithrix jacchus (white-tufted-ear marmoset)
Lineage: Eukaryota; Metazoa; Chordata; Mammalia; Primates; Cebidae
Source: RefSeq, a predicted model, not a curated record
GCAGCCCCACGCACCGUCACAAACACCUCGGAGCGCUGUGCAGGGCACCCCACGGCUGCUCCCUGGGGAAACCGUGCAGGGGUCCAGGUCUCUGGCACCCAUCCCUGGUCGGGAAAGAGACCAUCAUCCUGUAAUGCAGACCUGGCGCGCCCGGCCACACACCUCCCGUUUGUGCGCUGACUUGAGAUCUGAUUUGGAUUCUGUUCUCCACUAAGUCCGGUAACCUAACUUACUGCCGAGUGCUUGCUGGGUGCUGGGCAUGAAUGUCCCGACGCACCCUGGGACGUUAUCAUGUCCCCUCCACAGAUGAAGAAACCGAUGCGCUCAUGGAGGAAGGUCUCAAGUUUCAAUCCACUUUGCUCACGUCCGAUUCUUUAACCUCGUGUUUACUGGUAGCGACACACACACACACACACGAAUCUAAAUCCCUAAAAGGACACACACACAAACACGAAUCUAAAUCCCUAAAAGGCCACGACUUCCGUAGAGGAGUAAGAGAUGCGGGAGCAAAGCGCCAAGGUGGUUUCCCGAGACCUACUGGGAAGUUCUGCUCCUAACCACGCACUGAAGAUGGUGGCUCUUCUUCCUUUAGGGGAAACCUCAUCCAGCAGAAAAGCAGAGAUGCUUUUGACUUUCAAGAGUCAAUACUUUGGCAUUGCAAGAGCCUUUGAGUUUCAAAAGUAGAAGUCCCAGACCAGGUGCCCCAGUCGCCCACUGAAAAGGUGCCGGGAUCUAUGCAAUUUCCCGUGUGGUGACUGUGCCGGCUGAAACAGCGGUGCUGAGAUUCGUGGCGCUUUUCUGCCCGGGAAUCUCCCAGUCUGGCUCCCGGCUUCAGUCCCCCUCCCAAUCAGCUGAAUGGGUGACUGCCUUCUUGGAGCUCCAAAUGCCAACUAAAAGGGCACCCAGUCCUGCAUAGUCUGCUCUGAGAAUCGCCGCACCGGCCGAAAGAGUCACGCUGGCAACCUGUGGGGCUCCUGCGCUGGGAAUCUCCUGGUCCGUAAGCGACAAAAACUCAUCUGGAAGUCUGGCGUCCACGCUCUCCUUGCGCCUUCACUGGGAGCUGCAACCCUGAGCUGCUACUAGACAGCCAUCUUGGAUCUCUCUCCUCUCUUCCUGCCUUUUCUACCAGUCUCUCCUUCCUACCAUCUAAACUGUCCCAAUCUCCUCCCCUGCAGAAAAGUCUCCCAGUAUUGACACAGCAGAGUGCACGGUUCUUUGUACCUACUUGAUAAUGACCAUAAACCCUGAACCAACAGUGUACCUGCUCUGACCCUACCUGUCAUUGUGUCUACUUGGGUGGAAGUUCAGUAUUACACAAUGUUGUCUAGGUAGCAGUUGUCUUUGUGGUGACUCUGAGAUCUUUAGAUCAGGGUUUUGCAGCUUUGGCACCACUGGCAUUCAGGCUGGGCAACUCUUUGUUGUUACCUGUCUGCUGCAUUGCAGGAUGCCAAACAGCUUCCCUGGCUCUACUCACCAGUUGCCAGGAGCACCCUCCUCCCCAGCUGUGACAACCAAAAUGCCUCUAGACAUUUGCCAACUGUUUCCCCUGAUAGCAGGGGAACCAGCCCCAGUUAAGAACUGCUGCUUAGCUGGGCACAGUGGCUCACAUCUGUAAUCCCAACACUUUGGGAGGCUGAGGUGGGUGGAUCACUUCAGGCCAGGGGUUUGAGACCAGCCUGGCAUGGCAAAACCCGAUCUUUACAAGAACAAAAAUUAGCUGGGUGUGGUGGUAGGUGCCUGUAGUCCCAGCUACUUGGGAGACUGAGGCGAGAGGAUUGCUUGAACUUGGGAGAUUGAGGCUGCAGUGAGCUGAGGUGGUGCCAUUGCACUCCAGCCUGGGUGACAGACGGAGAUCCUGUCUAAAAAAUAAAAACCAACCAAACAGAAGAACUGUUGCCUAAAACAUUGAAUGCGGGAUCCUCGGCAUUGAUGUCCAGGAUGGUUUGAUGUCCAGGAGGAUAGACAGCAAAUGUAGUCAGAAAAUCAGUGGUCUUGAGGUCUAAAGACCUGGGUUCAAGCCCCAGUUCCAUCACUUCCUGCUUGUGUGAUUUUGAGCAAGACAUAUAGCUUUUCUGAGCUUCAGUUUCCCUAUAUGUGUAUUGGGGAAUAAUAAAUGAUUCUGUGUUUGUUUUGUUCACUGCAAUACUCCCAAUACCUAGAAUAACGCGGGGCACAUAGGAAGUGCUCAAUGCAGAUGGGUUGACUGAUUAACUCUAUCUCUGCUCCACCUCCCCCACCCCCAGAGCUUCUGCAGGGUUCAAAUGCAAAAGUUUGUAAGAACUUCCAUGAUGGAGGCGUUGCAGGAAAUACUUCAUCCCAUUCAAAUUCAGAGAAACAACAGCCACCAGCUGAUAGCUGACAUUUUCUAAAUUAAUUUUAUAAACCAUAAAGAUUUGUAAUAGUCAAAAACUGGGAACAAACCAAAUGUCUUUCAAUGGUAAAUGGUAAAACUGUGGUACAUCUAUACCAUGGAAUACUACACAGCACACACACCCACAAAUCGGCCUGGCAGGAUUGCUCACACCUGUAAUUCUAACAUUUUGGGAGGUGAAGGAGGGUUGAUGACUUGAGGUAAGGAGUUGGAGCCCAGCCUGGCCAACAUGGCAAAACCCCAUCUCUACUAAAAAUACAAAAAAUUAGCUGGUUGUGGUGGCACACACCUGUAAUUCCUGCUUCUUGAGAGGCUGAGGCUUGAGAAUUGCUUGAGCCCGGGAGGCAAAGGUUGCAGAGAGCUGAGAUCGUCACGCUGCACUCCAGUCUGGGUGACAGAGCAAGACUCUAUCUCAAAAAACAAAACAAAACCCCUAAGUGGUUGAUAGAUGCAACAACCUGGAUAGAUUUGAAGGGAAUUGUGCUGAGUAAAGAAACAGCAAUCUCAGAAGGUUACAUACUCUAUGAUUCUAUUUAUAUAAUAUUCUUGAACCAAAUUUUACAGAUGAAGAACAUUGCCAGGGGUUGGGGAUGAAGGUGGCCAUGGUGUGGUCACCUGAGGGAGCUCGUGUUGAUGGAACAGUUCUGUAUUUUUAAAACACGUUUUAUUUUUAAUUUUUAUAGUUAUAUAACGUAUAUAUUUAUGGGAUGUAUGAGAUAUUUUGAUACAUGCAUACAAUGUGUAAUAAUCACGUCAUGGUGAAUGGGGUCUCCAUUGCCUCAAGCAUGUCUCAUUUCUUUGUGUUAUGAACAUUCUGAUUCUCAUGUUUUAGUUAUUUUAAACUGUACUAUAAAUUAUUGUUGACCGUAGUCAACCUGUUGUGCUAUCAAAUACAAGAUCUUAUUCGUUCGUUUAUCUCAUUCAAACUAUAUUUUUGUACCCGUUACCCACCCGUCUUCCCCGUCACUCCCCAUUGCCCAUCCUACUGUCUGAUAACCAUCAUUCUACUCUGUCUCUAUGAGUUCAAUUGUUUUUUUUGUUUUUAUUUUUUGAGACGGAGUCUCGCUGUAUCGCCAGGCUGGAGUGCAGUGGUGCUAUCCCCGCUCACUGCAACUUCUGUUUUCUGGUUUCAAGCAAUUCUCCUGCCUCAGCCUCCUGAGUAGCUGGGACUAUAGGCACGCACCAGCACACCCGGAAAAUUUUUUCUAUUUUUAGUAGAGACGGGGUUUCACAAUGUUGGCCAGGAUGGUCUCCAUCUCUCGAUCUCAUGAUCUACCUGCCUUAGCCUCCCCAAGUGCUAGGAUUAUGGGUGUGCACCACCACGCCUGGCCUAUUUUAAUUGUUUUAAUUUUUAGCUCCCACAAAUGAGUGAGAAGAUGUGAAGUUUCUCUUUCUGUGCCUCACUUAUUUCACUUAACAAAAUGACCUCCAGUUCCAAUUAUGUUUUUUGCAAAGGACAGGAUCUCAUCCUUUUUCAUGGCUGAAUAGUACUCCAUUGUGUAUGUGCACUGCAUUGUCUUUAUCCAUUCAUCUGUUGAUGGACACUAAGGUUGAUUCCAAAUCUUGGCUAUUGUGAAUAGUGCUUCAGUAAACAUGGGCGUGCAGAUAUCUCUUUAAUAUACUGA